UGGGGAAUCUUGGACAAUGGGCGCAAGCCUGAUCCAGCCAUGCCGCGUGAGUGAAGAAGGCCUUCGGGUUGUAAAGCUCUUUUACCAGGGACGAUAAUGACGGUACCUGGAGAAUAAGCCCCGGCAAACUUCGUGCCAGCAGCCGCGGUAAUACAGAGGGUGCGAGCGUUAAUCGGAAUUAUUGGGCGUAAAGGGAGCGUAGGCGGAUGUGCAAGUGAUAUGUGAAAUACCCGGGCUUAACCUGGGGAGGUCAUAUCAGACUGCACGUCUAGAAUGUGGUAGAGGAAGGUGGAAUUCCUGGUGUAGCGGUGAAAUGCGUAGAUAUCGGGAGGAACACCUGUGGCGAAGGCGGCCACCUGGUUGGAUACUGACGCUGAGACGCGAAAGCGUGGGGAGCAAACAGGAUUAGAUACCCAGGUAGUCCCUGAGCGGGCUGGCAAGGCGCAU
RNAcentral lists this ribosomal RNA (447 nucleotides) under uncultured bacterium. RNAcentral describes it as "bacterial SSU rRNA". It matches the Rfam family "Bacterial small subunit ribosomal RNA", at positions 355 to 825 of the family's 1533-position model. The record is from RNAcentral.